UAAAAAAACUUUUUGCCGUAGACAGUAGGGGCAAAUGCUUAAUAACCUACCGAGGAAAGUAUAUUAUAUUUUGAUUGCUUUCCCAAUGGGAAAGUUUUUUUAUA
Molecule: small RNA, 104 nt
Filed under: pig gut metagenome
Description: Ribosomal protein L10 leader
Rfam family: Ribosomal protein L10 leader
About the family: This family is a putative r-protein leader autoregulatory structure found in B. subtilis and other low-GC Gram-positive bacteria. It is located in the 5' untranslated regions of mRNAs encoding ribosomal proteins L10 and L12 (rplJ-rplL).
Source: RNAcentral